This 253-nucleotide ribosomal RNA is filed under the name uncultured bacterium. Its description in RNAcentral is "partial small subunit ribosomal RNA". It matches the Rfam family "Bacterial small subunit ribosomal RNA", at positions 26 to 285 of the family's 1533-position model. The record is from RNAcentral.
AGGACGAACGCUGGCGGCGUGCUUAACACAUGCAAGUCGAGCGGAAAGGCCCUUCGGGGUACUCGAGCGGCGAACGGGUGAGUAACACGUGAGCAACCUGCCCUUAGCUUCGGGAUAGCUCCGGGAAACCGGAAUUAAUACCGAAUAUGACUGCGGCUGACAUCAGCCACGGUGGAAAGUUUUUCGGCUAGGGAUGGACUCGCGGCCUAUCAGCUAGUUGGUGGGUAAUGGCCUACCAAGGCGACGACGGGUA